RNAcentral lists this ribosomal RNA (446 nucleotides) under uncultured bacterium. Its description in RNAcentral is "bacterial SSU rRNA". It matches the Rfam family "Bacterial small subunit ribosomal RNA", at positions 355 to 796 of the family's 1533-position model. The record is from RNAcentral.
UGGGGAAUAUUGGACAAUGGGGGAAACCCUGAUCCAGCAACGCCGCGUGGGUGAUGAAGGCCUUCGGGUCGUAAAGCCCUGUUGAGGGGGAAGAAGGGACGGAGUAAUGAUCCGUUCUUGACGUUACCCCUUGAGGAAGCACCGGCUAACUCUGUGCCAGCAGCCGCGGUAAUACAGAGGGUGCAAGUGUUGUUCGGAAUCAUUGGGCGUAAAGGGCGCGUAGGCGGUGUGAUAAGUCAGGUGUGAAAGCCCUGGGCUUAACCCAGGAAUUGCAUUUGAAACUGUCACGCUAGAGUGCGAAAGAGGAGGGUGGAAUUCCCGGUGUAGAGGUGAAAUUCGUAGAUAUCGGGAGGAACACCAGCGGCGAAAGCGGCUCUCUGGGUCGACACUGACGCUGAGUGCGCGAGAGCGUGGGGAGCAAACAGGAUUAGAUACCCCCGUAGUCC